This is a transfer RNA of Pseudomassariella vexata, 94 nucleotides long. It matches the Rfam family "tRNA". From Rfam's summary of the family: Transfer RNA (tRNA) molecules are approximately 80 nucleotides in length. NCBI's taxonomy places the organism in Eukaryota, Fungi, Ascomycota, Sordariomycetes, Amphisphaeriales, Pseudomassariaceae. The record is from Rfam.
GGCAAUGUACCAAAGUGGUUACUGGGUUUGACUCGAAUAAUAUUUCAGAUAUCGAAUGGCUUCGGCCGCGUAGGUUCGAGUCCUGCCAUUGUCG